This is a long non-coding RNA of Gorilla gorilla gorilla (western lowland gorilla), 2679 nucleotides long. RefSeq lists it as uncharacterized. The record is from RefSeq and is a predicted model, not a curated record. The transcript is spliced from 4 exons. Lineage: Eukaryota; Metazoa; Chordata; Mammalia; Primates; Hominidae.
AAGGGGGCGGAGCGAGCUGGGCGGAGCGAGGUGGACGGUGGACGAAGCUAGGUGGGCGGUGCGUGGCGCUCCCGGAAUCAGGAUACCCUGGCUGCUGGCGGGGCUGAGGUGCUGGCUCGGGAGACAGGUUUUCACUGUGUUGCCCAGGCUGGUGUCAAACUCCUGGACUCAAGAAAUCCGCCUGCCUCAGCUUCCCAAAGUGCUGGGAUUAUAGAUGUGAACCACUGCACCCGGCCCAAUAGUAAAAACAAAAUCAACGGCCAAAUGACUCAACUGCGAUUGUGCCAGUGAGAACCUCAGGAGCCUAGCAGAAGAUAACGCUGGGAAGGGUUCAAGGAGCUAAGCCGAGAGUUUUGGCUGCCCACCACAGACAGAGCCAGCUCUGGCCUGCUCUAUCUCUCAUUACUGUGAUGACGGCUGUAUCCAGAUGCUAAACACUCCAGAGACACUCCAAUGCAGUGUUAAAGAGUCUGAACACUUCAUCCCCAAAGAAUGUAGCAUUCCAGGAGAAAACAGGCCUCCUUCUGACACUGGUAAAACUGUGAAGGUGUGUGAUAAAUCAGGGAUCAAAAUGAGAGGCCACAGAUUCUCUGCCCCUUACAGUGAAUCCUGCUCUUCUCUUUUCAAUGGAGUAACAGUCAUAUUUAAAAAAAAAAAAAAGUUUGUACAGACACACUAAUGGAAACAAUGACAAAAUAUAUUCAAACAUAAAGUGUUACAAUAGCUAGAGGCUGUUCUAGAUGGGAAUCAAAGAAUAAAUAGCUGGAGAUGUAACUAAGGAUAAAAACAUAUGAAAUGUCUUGGGCUAUUUGAGGGGAUUAGUUUUGAGAGGGUGGGCAGGAAUAGUUUGUCCUUGGGGCAAUGGUUGCUUCCAUUUUCUUUCCUUCUGUUUUUCCUUGUUUUUCUUCCUUCUUUUCUCCCUCCCUUUCUCCUUCCAGCUCCCACCCUUCCUUCCUUCUUUCCUCUCUUUCUUUUUACAGAAAUUUUCAUUUCUUCACUGCCACAAAACAAAGACAACAGGGUGUUCAAAGUACCAUUUACUUGACUCAUCAACCUCCUAAAGUAAUAUAAAUUUUUUAAAAUGUAAAAUAAUAAAUGUUAUCUAUAUCCAAGAAAAAAAAUAGUGGCCAAAAAUUCUUGGCUAUAAAUUAGAAUUCUUUUUUCACUAACAAAAUCAAGUGUUUUAAUCAAAAGUAUGUACAAGAUUGUUUCUAAAAUGACCACUGCCCAAGUUUGCUAACAAAAAUGCAAAACAAUCUGCUUCAGUACAACAGAAAUAUAUAUAAUUAUGGCCACAAAUGUUAAUUAAAAAUUUCAAAACAAUAAGUUUACUUGUUUUGUUAAAGCAUUAUGUAAUUCCUAGCAUUUUUUGUUUCUUUUUGCUUUUUAAUGAGGUGUCAUUUAUGUAAAGUACACAAGUGUACAUCUUGAUAAAUCUUUCCAUAGUCUACAGCCAUGUAACCACCAACCAGAUCAAGAUAGAGAACCCCUCAAAGACAAUGUUUCCAAGUUUAAGUGUAUAAGACUCUCCUGAGGAUGUUGUUAAAAAUCUAGAUUCCUAGGUCACAAUCCCAGAGGUUCAAUAUCGGUGGGUCUAGGGUAGGGUCCCUGAGACUGAUUAUUUAAUAAGCACUUCCACUUAGAGAAACUCUGCCUUAGAAAGAAACCUAACUUAACUCAAUGGCUCUAGAAGUUCUAUUACUCUCUACUUUAAAGAUAAUUAAUUGGGAAACCUAGGUGCUAUCCUACCAAGGAAGAAUAUAUAUGACAUUUGCUAUCCCUGUGUAAUUUUAACUUUUAGCAUUGUUUUUUCUUUCUUUGAGCCAGAGUCUCCCAAAUGAAGUUUCCACCAGUCCAUAGAAAAAUAAAAAUUAAUAAGACCAUAGUGAGUUAUUCAUAAAGUUAGAUGUAUCUAAAGGAUUGUCAUUUAUUUUCAGAUUAUGUUCUUCCUACCUUCAGGACUUUCAAAUGCUCUUUGCUUUACAAAAUAAUUCUAACAGUAAAAUAGUAUGGCCUUUUUUUCUUAUUAAUUCUGAGAAAUUAAGAGAUAGAAACGCUAUAUUGUUCAACUUUGAAAAAUCUGAGCUAUCAAGCCUUCAGGUCUGCUCCUGAAAUUUGAACCAAUUGCCACCAGGGGAAGUAGAGUACUACAGCCUGUGUGAUUUCAACUGUAGAGGCAUUUUUUUCUGCCAGAGCAUGUCAAAUUUAACUGCAGAUUUUCUACUACAGUCUUCUGUCACUUAACAAUGAGGAGAUGAGAUAUGUUCUGAGAAAUGUGUCCUUAGGCUAGUUCAUCACUGUGCUAACAUCAGUUUGUACUUACACAAACCUAGAUGGUAUAGCCUACCACACACUUAUGCUAGAUGGUAUAGCCUAUUGCUCCUAGGCUACAAACCCACACAGCAUGUUACUGUACUGAAUACUGCAGGCAGCUGUAACACAAUGGUAAGUAUCUGUGUAUCUAAACAUAGAAAAAGUACAGUAAAAAUAUGUACUAUAAUCUUAGGGGACCAUGAUAUAGUAUAUGUGGGUUUGUCACUGACCAAACCAUCAUUAUGUGGUAUACGACUGUACUCCAAAAAACAACCUUAGCUUCUUUUCUCUAUAUAUAAGCAACAUAUGGUCUCUGUAAAAAACUUUCAAAGAAUGGGAAAAAUUAAAUCAAACCAUCAAACCAUU